CGGGACGGGUGAGUAACGCGUGAGGAACCUGCCUCAGAGAGGGGGAUAACACGCCGAAAGGUGUGCUAAUACCGCAUAACAUAUGAGAGGGGCAUCCCUUUCAUAUCAAAGAUUUAUUGCUCUGAGAUGGCCUCGCGUCCAAUUAGCUAGUUGGUGAGGUAACGGCCCACCAAGGCGACGAUUGGUAGCCGGACUGAGAGGUUGAACGGCCACAUUGGGACUGAGACACGGCCCAGACUCCUACGGGAGGCAGCAG
This 256-nucleotide ribosomal RNA is filed under the name uncultured bacterium. RNAcentral describes it as "partial 16S ribosomal RNA". It matches the Rfam family "Bacterial small subunit ribosomal RNA", at positions 98 to 354 of the family's 1533-position model. The record is from RNAcentral.